RNAcentral lists this long non-coding RNA (4808 nucleotides) under Equus caballus (horse). RNAcentral's name for it is "lncRNA (ENSECAG00000050396.1)". The record is from RNAcentral. Lineage: Eukaryota; Metazoa; Chordata; Mammalia; Perissodactyla; Equidae.
AACCACUCCCCCCACCCCUCUCCUCACCCCCACUCAGCUCCUCUUACUCUCCUGGAGGGGCAGGCAGGGCUCACUGAGGACCCGCUCUCCCUCCAAGCUCCCGCUGUACCUCCCAUUCAGCACUUUCAAUGGGGACCAAGGGAGAGAAUGAGAGUCAGGGGCUGGUUUCAGCCAGCGAGCAGCAGGCAGAGAGAGAAAAACUGGCAAAGAAGUUUGCUUGUGCUGGGUCCCAGCUUUGUCAGCCAGCUGGGCCAGAUGCCACCGUGGAGGCAUCUGUCUCCACACAUCCUGUUUCUGGGGAUUGAUUCGCACAGCUGUCUCUUAGAUGGAAAGGAGGUGGCUGCCAACAUGACCCAGAGCAUCCUUCCAGCCCUACUUUAGGCAGGAUAGCUGAGUGGGAAGAUCCUGGGUUUUCAGUUGGGCAGGGAUUUCAAUCAGAUUCUGACACUCCCUAGAGGUGUCACCUUGGGUAAAUUGCCCAUAGUGCCAGAGAUGUAUAAUAGCGGUAAGAAUGUUUGGUUCAAAUCCCAGUUCUCCUUCCUAGCUGUGUGGCCUCAGACAACUUACCUGAUAUCUCUGAAUCUCAGUUCUCUGAAUCUCUGAAAUGGGGAUCCUACCUGUACUUAUUCUCGUAGGAUUGUUGGGAAGAUUGAGUGACUUAAUGCACAUUCAAGAGUUUAGAACAGUGCCUGGCACCAAGUGUAGUCUCUGACUGUUAUAACCUUCUCUGAGCCUGUAAAAUGGGGUAACCUCACCUACUUCUGGGGUCAUUCUGAAGGACCAAAGAGCUAAUGGAAGUGAAGCACCUAGUCAUAUGCCUGGCACACAAGAGAUGCUCAAAAAUGGCAAUCUUAAUGGAAGUAGGAUUAUAUAGUAUGAGUCCUUAGUCUGAGAACUACCUUGCGUAAUACACUUUAUGUCUCUGAGGCUCAACUUGGACACCUGUAAAAUGGGCUCUGGAGCUGACAGGUAUAGAUUGCUUUAAGCCAGCACCCAGGAAGAUCAUCCAACUGGAAAAGCAGUCAUCAGAGAACAGAGAAGCCUGAGCUCUUCAAAGAAGUCUAAGGUCAUGGAACCAAACAAGCUUCCUAUAUUCACACCUUUUCAAUUCAAAUAUCUCUUCUCUGACCUGCACCACAAGUUCUCCCUUCACACUCGCUUUUCAUAUCCGAUAAUUCUGAAAAUGACAUGUAUCUCUCCUGUAAGCCUUUAAGUUCCAAGAGAUAAGAGGCUGCAUCUGUCUUGUUCGUCAGCAUGUAUGGGGCCUUGCUUUGCAUGGUGGUUGCAUGCGCGUGCUUUUUUUGUGUUAAUUCAUUGAGCUCUUGGUGCAAUGCCAGUGCCCAGUAAAUAUUCAUUGAAUGCAUGAAUGAAUCACAGAGUCUUCGGUAGUUAUCCAGGCCAUUCACCCACUACAUUCCUGAAUCCUUGCCUCAAAAUUCCUACCAAGUGUCUGCUAUUAUUUGCCAACAAAACAGCUCUAGUGACAAGGAGCUCUCUACUGCCCAAGGCUGCCUGUUUAUUUUUUGUGUAGUUCUGUUGGCUAGAAAGUUCUUCUUAAUAUGGAGCUGAAAUAUAUCUCCUUGAGGCUUCCAGUCAGUUUCUUGUUCUAUCCUUAUGAUCACAUAAAUCAAGCCUACGCCCUCUUUGUGACGACAACCUUUUAGACAUUUGAAGUUAGUUCUCACACCCACCUCUUCUCCAAGCUAAUCACAAAAUCAUUGAUGAGACGCAUAUUUGUUGAGUACCUACGAAAGGAAUAGGCUAGAGAACACAAAGAUGAAAAGAUAUAAUACCUGUCCUGAGGUCUCCAGUCUUGGGGAGCCAGAGAAAUUUAAGAGAGAAUGUGAUAAGUGCUAGGGAUGGUGGAGACACAGGGGAAAGAGAGCCCAAGCCCACUCAAGGAGACCCUUGAGGAAGCCUCCACAGAGGAGUGGGCUAUAGAAUAUGCUCCAAGCAGGCCAGGGAGGAGAGGAUGUUCCAAGAGGAAGGGAGAGCAUACACAAAAAUCUGGCAAUAUAAGAGUCCAUGGCAUGGAAAGAGAACUUUCAGUAGUUCCAUAUGGCUAGGAAGACCGCAAGUCCCAGCUUGCUCAGAACAGUCCAGUUUGUGCCUGUUGUCCCAGAAAACGUUUAGUAUGUCCUCAGUCUCAAAAGUGGCCUAGAUUGGAUAAUAAAUUAUAUGGUCAUUCUAAGUAUGCCUGGGACAUACAGUCUAAGGGUGAAGUGGAAAUGGGGGAAAUGAAGGCAGAGGGAGGCAGAUGCUGAUCACAGGGGCCUUGUGGGCCAAGUUUACAAAAACAUUCAGUUAACUGGAUUUUGUAUGGUGUCUUCCCUUUGAAGUCAUCUUCUCCAUGUAUAAUCUAACUCAUAGAUAGAUAAGUACAUCUAUUGAAGAUGAUGGUUGCUACUGGUUACCAUUUAUGGAAGACUUACCAGGUAAGCACUUCCCGCAUAGCCUGGGGUGCGGUGAGCUGCCCCUCUGCUGACCCUGGUUCAGGUAUGUCCUGUAACUGCUUGUCUACCAUUGGGUCUUGAUUUUGACUUGUUUUUAUGAUUGUAAGAUUGUGUCCUGAGUCAACAUUAGGCAAUCCCCUCAGGGCCUUCUGUUUCCAACUAGAAACUUUGUAAGGCUUUCCUGGAGGGGGAUAGCUAGGGUCAGGAGUAGGCUUAUUAUCUACAAGCAAUUUGUUUUAAAGGACUGGCAUGAUUUGUAUAUUGGAGGGACUUGAAGAAUAUUCGAAUGAAUGAGUUUAUUUGGCUCUCAGAUGAUGCAAUAACCAAGUAAUGUGGAGUUAGAUAUUUGAACAGGCAGCCAGGGGAAAUGGUUUAAAUGUAAGAAAUACUUGAAUUACAUGGAAAGUGGAUAGUAAGAAUGGGCAUUUGAGAUUUUAUUUAUUUAUUUUUUUCCUUUUUCUCCCAAAGCCCCCUGGUACAUAGUUGUGUAUAUUUUUUUAGUUGUGGGUCCUUUUAGUUGUGGCAUAUGGCACGUGGUCUCAGCAUGGCUCGAUGAGCGGUGCCAUGUCUGCGCCCAGGAUUCGAACUGGCAAAACCCUGAGCCAUUGAAGUGGAGCGUGCGAACUUAACCACUCAGCCACGGGGCUGGCCCCAAGAAUGGGCAUUUGAAAUAUGUCUGAGUGAAUGAUUUUGUCCGUAGUGCCCCCUGCGACAUCUGUCCCUCAGUGGCAAGUGUUGGUUUGUACCCCAAACUGAAUGUAGCCGUCCGCUAGAGCAGUUCUGCAACGGCUAGCUUCAGGCUGCUUUUGCCCACCAGGAAGCCAGGUGAUAGUGGACCUCAGGGCUUCUAGAGGCUCCCCCAUCCCAGCCACACUUGGAUGCUGCAAGGAAAUAUGAGUCUACUAGGAACGGUCAUGUCAACCCACCCUUCUCAUUUGUCCUUUGUCAACCUAUUAAUGUUUGGGGCUAGUUUGUGGAUCUAGGUAUAUAAAUUUGCCAGGGCUGCUGAAACAAGGUACCACAAACUGCGUAGGUUGAACAACAGAAAUUUAUUGUCUCACAGUUCUGGAGACUAGAAGUCUGAAAUGAAGGUGUCGACAGGACUGGUUCCCAGCUAGAAACUUUGUAAGGCUUCCCAGGAGGAGGCUAGCUGGGGUCAGGAGUAGAUCCAUUAGCUAUAAACAACUUGCUUUAAAGGACUGGCAUGAUCUGCGUAUUGGAGGGACUUGUAAGGAGCCCUUCUGAGAGCUGUGAGGGAGAAUCUGUUCCACGCCUCUCCCUGAGACUGGUGGUUUCCUGGCAAUAUUUGUUGUUCUUUGGCUUUUAAAAGUAUCACCUGAUCUUUGCCUUCAUCUUCACCUGGCAUUCUCCCUAUGCACGUCUGUGUCCAAAUUUUAUCUUUUUAUAAGGACACAGUUAAAUUGGAUUAGGGACCUACCCUACUCCAGAAUGGCCUCAUCUUAACUAAUUACAUCUUUAGUGACCCCAUUUCCAAGCAAAGUCACAUUCUGAUACUAGGGGUUAGCACUUCAACAUAGGACUUAUUGGAGGACACAAUUCCACCCCUAAGACUGGGGUAGACAGAAACAGUGACAGCAUAGAUGCAUUACUAUUGAUUACGACUGCAACCAACUCUACUUUUUGGGAAACCAUCAACUCAGAAAGAAUCCCAUGGCUAGGGGAGACAUACCUCGAUCCUGCUGUAACAAGUCAAAGGUAUAGCCCGUAGAUGUGGGUCAGUUUGCCUUGAGCUUUGCAUGUGACUUCUCCCCAGAGGCUCCUUACUUGAGGGCACACACGGGACCCUGCUCACCAGGGUACAGAGUAGCCUGUGGCUCUGGAAACCUUGUUUUAAUCUGUUACCUGAUUUUCCAAGAGUUCAUCUUCAAUCUUAUGCCAUUAUUCUACCCUAGAACCAACUAUCUUCGUUCUCUCUGAGAUGAAUGCAAAAACCUUGUAACCAGUCUGCCCAUUUGGUUCUUCUCCAGCCGUUCUCCACACUAUGCAGAGGGAUUGUUUUAAAACACAAAUGUGAUACAGUCAGCAACUUGAUGGAAACGACCUCAAUGGCUGCUUGCUGCUCUCGAGAUAAAGAUCAACACGCUAUGUCCUACAAGGCCCUGAGGUCUCCAACAGGAGGCUUACCAUCUUCAUCUAGUCCUUAGUUGCAUUUUUUAAAAAAUAAAAUUGAACUGGCAAUGCUCUGUUUCUUGAUCUGGGUGCUGAACACUGGUACUUACCCUGUGAAUAUUCAUCAAGCUCUACUGUUUGAUUUGUGGGCUUGUCUGUAUGUACGGUAUAUUUCAAUUAAAAAACAAAACCUCAAAACAAUUGAAUGAGUUGCUUAAAGUUCUG